Molecule: long non-coding RNA, 1028 nt
Filed under: Cicer arietinum (chickpea)
Lineage: Eukaryota; Viridiplantae; Streptophyta; Magnoliopsida; Fabales; Fabaceae
Description: long non-coding RNA (CARI_LNC002945)
Source: RNAcentral
AUAAAAUAAAUUUAUAAUGAUAAUAAUAAUAAUAACAAUAAUAAUAUAUUUUACAAUACUAAACAUCUUUAUUUUACAUAAAAUAAAAGAAUUGAAUUACAAUAAAAACAAUGUUUCUGAUUUGGCAUGGAAACACAUCAGUACCCAAUACACCAAUCCAUUCCACCCUGCCAACACUCAACUUCACCUUCAUCUUCUAUUCUACAUCCUUUUAUCUGCUUGACUAUUAUCUGUAUUUACAGCAUUUCCAAAUACAAACAUAUUAAAAACCAGUUAAUUGAUUGAGAUAUACUAAUAAAGGUAUUACUUGUAUAACCUUCCUUUGUAACCUCUACACUCAAAAUCUGUAUUUUGCAACAAACACUACAAAAUCUAGAACCUGAUUUUAUCUAAUAAACAGAAGAAUUCACCACUUUAAUUUACUUUUAGUCUAUAAAUAGAGUUUGAAGUUUUGAAAUGAAGGGGGGAGAGGAGACAAAACACAGAUUUAGAAUUUUGGAAAUAGAGAAAAAGAAUUCGAAAUUUAAAAACAGAGAGUAGAUUUUCUUUUUGGGAGAGAAAUUUGUAAAAAAUAAUACACUGAAGCAGACCUACAGAAACAGAGGAACAAAUAGAAGGAUUAAGAGGUAUUUUCGUUUAUUCAUUUUUUUCAUUUUUCUAAUCAAUCUGUUGAGUUUGAGUUAUGAAUAAAAGAUGAAAUUUGUUUAUUAUUAUUAAUCUGAGUAUAAAAAAUGUUAGAGAUAAUAGGAUUAAAAAAAAACUCAAACCUUGAACGCCGUCGUCGGAAUGCUGACCGUGUUUCCUGGUCACUCCGUUCGUCUGACUCCCCUUUUUCCUCAACGACCUAAUCCAGCGGCCUCACUCCAACGCCGUUCUUAUUUACGGUCUUGAUGGUGAAGUUCGCAUGGCUCUGUUUUUUCUCUUUUGAUCUGCGACCCUCAUUGCCUAGCCGCCGCUCUGGUUUUUGCCUUUGCCUUGUUUCAAUUUAGGGUUUGUUUUACAAAUCACUUUUCUGAAGGUAUUGGGCC